RNAcentral lists this long non-coding RNA (1243 nucleotides) under Bemisia tabaci. RNAcentral describes it as "lncRNA ENSASIAIIG002516". The record is from RNAcentral. Lineage: Eukaryota; Metazoa; Arthropoda; Insecta; Hemiptera; Aleyrodidae.
AUGCUGUUUUCCACUCCGAUCCCAACGCUCUCCAGCCGUGGACUGCAGGACUCAAGGAAGACUUCAAAUUUACUGGAAAUUUGGAACCUUCCUCAAUUUCAUCUUUUUUCCAUAGGAGAACGUAAGACUUCUUAUUUAUCGUUGGAAGUUAUUUAAUCACCAAAUCAUCUUGUUCUAAAUCUCUCCGUUUUCAUGCCAAACCGCUCAUCUUGUUUUCAAGCACAGCGUUUCGUUAGUGUGUAAGUAGAAAACCUCUUUUUAUUCCUCAGACUUUUUCGCUAUUUUCUAAACUGCAAACAUCAAAAUUACAUGAUACGCUCCCACUCAAAAAGCACAAGUCCAACAAGGAAGCAACUCAUAAAUGUUACUGUAAUCAUUGGUAAUUACUCCACUCACCUAGUGACAAUUUAAAAGGUUCUUCAUAAAGUCAUUUAAAGACUCAAUGGAAGUGUCGAGCAAACACUGUGUCAGGUUUCUGCAGAAAAUACCUAGUAAAAUGUAUCUUUUCAUGUAAAGGAUAUUAAAAUUGUUAUCUAAAAAGUGUCCUUGUUUGUUCACAGAGGCUGCAUAAUUGGCAGACUGUAAAUAUUUUCUUAAUCAUCGAUAACUAUUUGAAGUAACAAUCAACAAAUCACUCGUUGCAAACCUGUCUUUUUCCGUUUGAAAAUGCUCAGCAUGUUUUCAAGCAAAGCAUUUCGCUAAUGUGUAAGUAGAAAACCUUGUUUUACUCUCCAGACUUUUUCUCUAUUUUCUAAACUGCAUGCAUUAAAAUUACAUGAUGCGCUCCUGCUCAAAAAGUGCACGUCCAACAAGGAAACAACUCAUAAAUGUUACUGUAAUCAUUGUUAAUUACGCUACUUACUGACAAUUUAAAAGAUUCUUCAUCAAGUCAUUUGAAGACUCUAGGGAAAUGUUGAAUGAUCACCACUUCAGGUGUCUGCUGAAAAUACCCGAUGAAAUGCAUAUUUUCAUGCAAAGAAUAUUAAAAUUGUUAUUCAAAACAUUUUCUUGUUUGUUCGCAGAUGCUGCAUAAUUGGCAGAUUGUUAAUCAUUUUAUGAAUCAUCACACAUUGAAAACCUGUCUUUUUCCGUAUGAAAAUGCUCACCAUGUUUUCAAGCACAGCAUUUCGCUAAUGUGUAAGUAGAAAACCUCGUUUUACUCUCCAGACUUUUCCUCCAUUUCCUAAACUACAAGAAUCAAAAUUAAAGGAUACCCUGCUGUUCAAAAAGUGCAAGUCCAACA